Molecule: ribosomal RNA, 345 nt
Filed under: Campylobacter jejuni
Lineage: Bacteria; Pseudomonadati; Campylobacterota; Epsilonproteobacteria; Campylobacterales; Campylobacteraceae
Description: bacterial SSU rRNA
Rfam family: Bacterial small subunit ribosomal RNA
Source: RNAcentral
AAGUCAUCAUGGCCCUUAUGCCCAGGGCGACACACGUGCUACAAUGGCAUAUACAAUGAGACGCAAUACCGCGAGGUGGAGCAAAUCUAUAAAAUAUGUCCCAGUUCGGAUUGUUCUCUGCAACUCGAGAGCAUGAAGCCGGAAUCGCUAGUAAUCGUAGAUCAGCCAUGCUACGGUGAAUACGUUCCCGGGUCUUGUACUCACCGCCCGUCACACCAUGGGAGUUGAUUUCACUCGAAGCCGGAAUACUAAACUAGUUACCGUCCACAGUGGAAUCAGCGACUGGGGUGAAGUCGUAACAAGGUAACCGUAGGAGAACCUGCGGUUGGAUCACCUCCUUUCUAG